Molecule: long non-coding RNA, 2458 nt
Filed under: Homo sapiens (human)
Lineage: Eukaryota; Metazoa; Chordata; Mammalia; Primates; Hominidae
Description: HSALNT0138062
Source: RNAcentral
CAGCAGCACAAGUGGACUACAGCCUCGGAAAUGUCCUCACCGUCCGGCUUCAUGGCAAGCAGCCUGGCUGUUGGCAAGAUGCGCCCAGCUCUGCUUCUGCUCGUGUGGAACCUUACAUUACCCUAACGCAGCUGGGGCACAAGCCGUCUGUGCUUAUACUAUUCUUCUUAAGCUUGGAGACACACUCACCUUGAGAUCUCUCCUCUUUUUCAUCUAGACACUGUUGUCAAGGUCAAACCUGGGCUGGAUAUUGUGAUGUCACAGAGUGGAAUCCUCACUCCUCCAGAUGGUCCAGCUGAGGCCCUCUUGGACAACACUUCCUCUCCUGCCCAUGGUGGGAGGUUGGGAAGGACAUUCCCCCAUUUCCAUUUGCUCUGCCAUUCAAAACCUUGUGAGGGCCCUCAGGGAAGAAUCCCUUUGCAGGUCAUAAACUGACCUGCAGAAUUAUGGGAUCUUAACUGUGGGGAGAGACCUAGAAGACCGGCUAGUGACCAGAUUCUCAUCUAACUCCUUUUUUUUUGCAGAUGAGGAAACUGAGGCCCCACGUGGUGAAGACAAUUUUUACCCGAAUCCACCCACAACAAGAGACCAUUUGGAUAAUGUACAUUAUGGGAAGAGAACAGAGUCUCAGUGAAGAUCAUGUUUCCCCAGCAACACAGGUGCCAGGAGUAGCUGGCUCUGGUCCCAGCCCAGACUCAGAAAUCCUGAGCCACCAGACCAUUUCUAGAUUAACAAGUAAGGUGACUUCUGAGCAACUAAUGUUUUCAUUGAGAUUUGAUGAUAAGCAGCAAAGCUCAAAUGAAAGUCCAGAGUUAGUGUUGGCAGGGCGAGAUGGCUCAUGCCUGUAAUCCCAGCACUUUGGGAGGCUGAGGUGGGAGGAUCACUUGAGCCCAGGAGUUUGAGACCAGCCCGAGCUAUAUAGUGAGACCCUAUCUCUACAAAAAAUACAAAAAUUAGCUGGGCGUAGUUGUGCGUGCCUGUAGUUCUAACUACUCAGGAGGCUGACAGGGGAUGAUCGCUUAAACCCAAGAUAUCGAAGCUGCAAUGAGUUGAGAUUGCACCACUGCACUCCAGCCUGGACGGCAGAAUGAAACCUUGUCUAAAACACACACACACACACACACACACACACACACACACACACACACACACACACACACACAGAGUAUUGAUUACAGCGCUAUACCAGGUUCUAGUGUUGAGUAAGGGACAGGGAGGAGCAAUCUGUAAAGAAAUAGAGUCUCACUGGAAUUUCAUUCUUCAUUAUUUCAUACCCUUCACUUUUUCUAGACGCUAACCCCAUAUGAUACUAAAAAGUAUCUGUAUUGCAUCAGACGACGUAUCUGUGAAGUCAGAGAAUUGUGCUUUAAGAAUCUCUCAAGAGGAGAACAUAUAUUGGGCUUUCAUAAUACCAAUAACAUUUUACAUCAUGCUUCAUUUACAAGCUAUUUUCACACAUAUCACUCUAUUUAAUCUUCACAACUUGGUGAGAUAAACAAAGUAUUAUUUUCAGUAUAAUUUUCUGGAUGAGAAAAUUAUAGCUUAGAGAAGUUGUGUCUUGCACGAGAUCACAAAGCUAAUUAAGUGGAAAGGUUACUUAACAUUAACUACAAACCAGAUCUUCCACCAAGCCUUUUCCCCACCACAGGGCUUUGCUGGUUGGGGAGAAAUUGUCAUUUGGUCCCAGAACACACUUGAAGGCCACUGCCUUAAGCAACCCUUUGAGUAACAAGGAAGAAAGUAUUCCCGUAGGUCAUAAAUACUGCUUUACUAACUUCCUAAAUGUCUUCAUAAAAUCUUAGGGAAAUGGUUAAUGGACACUAAUUUUAAACUUUAAAAUAAUAUAAUUAUUGCCCUUUCUUCCAACAAUUCCACAUCUGUGAAUUCUCCUAAGAGAACCAUUAUGGAUAUGAAAAAUAUUUAGCUACAAGAGGUUUUUUGAAGCACUGUUUAUAACAGAAAACAAAUAUAAAGCUCAGCAUUGGAAAAGUGGUAAAAUGGAUUAUGCUGAACUCAUGAAAAUAAUGUCAGGGUUUCCCACACUUUGAUUAUUCAUGUGGCAUCUUCAGAAUAUUGCCAUCUGCACUAAUAUUUACUUAACAUUUUCCUUUAAAUUAAUUCAUACAUUUUACUGGAAUAAAAUUAUUUAAAGGUAUUUUUUAUUAUUAACAUAAGUAGAAAUACAGUAUUAAUUGCCUUAAAUGUCAGAUGACAAUAAAAACAAAUACAAUGAAAACAAAGUAAUGUUAUUAAUGCAUGAAUUUGGUCCCAAUACCUUGAAGAAAACAUAUGACUGAUUUAAUAAAAUCACAAGUAAUCCCUUUUUUUGCCAUCACAAACUUCACCUUUCUGCAUUAAAAAAUCUCUUUUUUCACCUCUGAUCUAUAAAAGGUUCAAUGGAAAAAAGAUAUGCAGUGUGUGUCUGACCCCAAAUCACAGUUAGAUAUAUUUAUGCAUA